UGGCGACGCCUCAGGGGCUUCGCCUAAUAUUAUAGUGUACGACCGUUUGACAAAAAUUCCCAGAAUUUCGCAGGCAUGUCAGGAAUUUUUACACGCAUGCACAGUUGCAUCAUCCCUUUAGAGGGGAAUAACUCGGAAAUGGAUUGACGGAUCUUAAUGGUAUUUGGAAUAUAGAUGGCUUCAGAGAUCCCUUACAUAAUUAAAUGCUAAUCAUUCAGACAAUGGGCUAAUUUGCAAGAAUGUACAGAACUUUAACAAGCCCGCGCACUCGCAAACUUACCUCAUAGGCCCUGUGAGAAUUUGGUUACGUGCGCAGCGCAUGGCGAGAGUGUGCCAUCAGUCGGCGUUUUUGUCGUAAACUCGCAAUUUGUAAAUCCAGCACCCACUCAUCGGGUGAUACCGAACGGACCGCACUUUCGGACCUUUCCCAGCUUUUCUCGAAAAGGUAGCAACGUGCGAAUUUCGGCAUCUUCUUCGUCACUAAUCUACCUACCUAUGAUAUUAAUCUGAUUUUAGUUACAACUUCGAGAAAUUUUCUAACGUUAUCAUGAAAGUUAACGGCCCGUUUAAAGCUUCGCAGGAAGUUUGAAUCCGCCUUUGCCGCAAUUCGGUCAUUUUGUCGUAAAUGGGCCAGGCCAAUUUCAACAGACCACGCCGAUUUCCCGAGCGCACGUUUUGGAAAAUUUCUGCCCCCAGGCGGUCAAGAAAAAGUCACCACCACCUACGUUUCAGUUGGAAGGAGGGAAAAGAUAACAAGAGCACAGUAGCGGAUGGCAAGAUGCUGAGACCUGUUUGUGAGAACCACAUUGAUGAUGAGUGUUUCAAUAUAUAGGAAGGACAGCCACUUGCUACAGAAUAAGUAUGUGUGGGUUGAUCCCGUAAGGCUUCCGAACAAGAGACUUCCUGGAUAGGAUACCAGCAUGAUCAGGGUGCUAACCUCCUUCUCAGCCUUCCACGAGUGCUGGCGGUUAUUGUUGGGGAGAGGGCUGAUUUAAGAUUUUCAACAUUUAUGGGCCAGGUUUUUAUGUCGUGAAGAUCAUGUUUGCGCCCGCUAGAACUUAAUAGAAGACCUGCAAUCUUUCUGCAUCCUCCAAAGCAAUAAAGAUUAAGAUUGUCUUUCAAAGGCCAAUUAAUGUUCCUGCAAAAAGUAAUCCAUGGUGCCACCCACACGGUGUCGUGAGAAGCCAACCUCAUGCACAAAGUGAAUCGACACAUGCCAUCUUGCAAAUGUUGGUCAUAUUUCUAUAAAUUGUGUGUCAAUCUUUCAUCAAUACCAAAUGAUAUCAACCAUGCCUUUCAGCCUCAGAAAAAUGGUGUUAGGGCAUGGCACCUAACCAACUGACAGCCAAUCAGAGAAAUGUCUUUGUGUGGUCCAAAGGCACCAUAUAAGGCACUUCAUUAAUAUUCAAGAGCAUGAUGACAGUGCUGACAUAACGUAAUACAGUUCUUUCAGCGUCAGACUUGUUCAUCAGAUACCGAAUUUAAAAUUUGUCAGUUCUGUGGGAAGAGGGCACCACAGCACCACCAAAUACCAACCGAGCAUACGAAGUAACCAUUAUCAUUAGGCAAAAAUAAACAGGUGCACACCAUGCCAUAUGCCGUUUCUUCAAAAUUUGCAAUCUGGCUGCUGAUUGGCCUGCGACAAAUCUUGGCGACAAAUCUUGACGAUAGCUACCUCUUCAGACUUCAGUAUUGUUUUCGUAAAUGCACCGUGAUAUAACAAUUAUAUGUUAUGAACAACUAACGCCUCAUUACCUUUGCCAAGAAGAUUGUUUUAUUUGUACAUGUAACUUAUUAUAAGUAUUAUGUAUGUAGAAGACGAGCAUAAUUCGAGAAUGCCUAGGUGGGUGUAUUGAUACACAGUAUGUGAUCCGGUCUUGAUGAGACCCUGAUAGUGAAACAGUCAGAUGUUGGGCCCCCUAGCAUCUUCUGUUGCAUUCUAGGAUUAUUCCAACAUGUGACAUGUGUAACUGAUAAAGAGAAGAAUGUUGAUAGAUAGUUAUUAUGCAAGUACAGGUGAACAUCAUUGGAAUUUAUGCAAGGGGGGACCUUAUGUGCACACAUGAGACAUCAGUUGUAAAGAUUAAAGCCAUUUGGAUCUAAUGUAUGGGGUCGUGAAACGUAAGCUUUUUAUUCAAUCCUCUUCAUGCUCGCUUUCUAGUACCGAAACAAAAAUAUGUAUUAGAUGGAAUUCUGUUGAUUCAGAAGUGUUCUAUAUGUAUUUGAAUGUCAGAAAAUCACCAAUAUUGUGUAAAGUAUACGUUAUCAGUCUGGUGAUGUCACACUUCUUUGCUGCUGUAUUGGUUAGCUACCAACCAUCUUCUAAUACACCUGUAACACAUGUGCACAAAUGACUUAUGUUAUAUGUGAUUUGUUGUUAAAAUCAAAGUACAUAAAAUCAUGUCUUGAACAUUAGAUGCAUAAUGUGUUAUGUUUAGAGUCCCCUUAUGUUCACCAAUAGUCCACAUUUCACAAGAACUUUAUGUUAAAUGUAUGUAUUUGUCAAUAUCAAUGCUAUACUGUAUGUGUCAGAUGUAUCUUAAGUUGAAAUAUGUAUACAUGUGUAUGGCCUAUGCAUAAGUCUAUAUUAUUGUAUUGCACUGUACAUAUGUUAAUUCAUUGUAAAUGUUCCUUGUCAUUAUAUGUACAAAGUAAGUAUAUUAUUUUGUUGUAAAUUUGGCAUACAUGAAAGUAAUACAUAUGAAGUUUUAUUGAAGAAA
Long non-coding RNA from Branchiostoma floridae (Florida lancelet), 2720 nucleotides. RefSeq lists it as uncharacterized. The record is from RefSeq and is a predicted model, not a curated record. NCBI's taxonomy places the organism in Eukaryota, Metazoa, Chordata, Leptocardii, Amphioxiformes, Branchiostomatidae. The transcript has 2 exons.